RNAcentral lists this ribosomal RNA (253 nucleotides) under Faecalibacterium prausnitzii. RNAcentral describes it as "partial 16S ribosomal RNA". It matches the Rfam family "Bacterial small subunit ribosomal RNA", at positions 524 to 776 of the family's 1533-position model. Lineage: Bacteria; Bacillati; Bacillota; Clostridia; Eubacteriales; Oscillospiraceae. The record is from RNAcentral.
AACGUAGGUCACAAGCGUUGUCCGGAAUUACUGGGUGUAAAGGGAGCGCAGGCGGGAAGACAAGUUGGAAGUGAAAUCUAUGGGCUCAACCCAUAAACUGCUUUCAAAACUGUUUUUCUUGAGUAGUGCAGAGGUAGGCGGAAUUCCCGGUGUAGCGGUGGAAUGCGUAGAUAUCGGGAGGAACACCAGUGGCGAAGGCGGCAUACUGGGCACCAACUGACGCUGAGGCUCGAAAGUGUGGGUAGCAAACAGG